AUUGAACGCUAACGGCGUGCUUAACACAUGCAAGUCGAGCGGCAGCACAGUAGUAGCAAUACUAUGGGUGGCGAGCGGCGGACGGGUGAGUAAUACAUAGGAAUCUGCCUUAUAGUGGGGGAUAACCCGGGGAAACUCGGGCUAAUACCGCAUAAUCUCUACGGAGAAAAGUAUGGGACCUUCGGGCCAUAUGCUCAAAGAUGAGCCUAUGUUGGAUUAGCUAGUUGGUAGGGUAAAGGCCUACCAAGGCAACGAUCCAUAGCUAGUCUGAGAGGAUGAUCAGCCACACUGGGACUGAGACACUGCCCAGACUCCUACGGGAGGCAGCAGUGGGGAAUAUUGGACAAUGGGCGCAAGCCUGAUCCAGCAACGCCGUGUGUGUGAAGAAGGCCUUAGGGUUGUAAAGCACUUUAGUGGGGAAGAAAAGUUCAUGGCUAAUAUCCAUGAAUGCUGACGUUACCCACAGAAAAAGCACUGGCUAACUCUGUGCCAGCCGCCGCAGUAA
RNAcentral lists this ribosomal RNA (505 nucleotides) under uncultured bacterium. RNAcentral's name for it is "partial 16S ribosomal RNA". It matches the Rfam family "Bacterial small subunit ribosomal RNA", at positions 30 to 523 of the family's 1533-position model. The record is from RNAcentral.